GUUUCAGCCGCCGCGGUAAUACGUAGGCAGCAAGCGUUGUUCGGAGUUACUGGGCGUAAAGAGUGCGUAGGCGGUCCUGUAAGUUUGGUGUGAAAUCUCCCGGCUCAACUGGGAGGGUGCGCCGAAGACUGCAGGGCUUGAGUAUGGGAGAGGUAAGCGGAAUUCCUGGUGUAGCGGUGAAAUGCGUAGAUAUCAGGAGGAACACCUGUGGUGUAGACAGCUUACUGGACCAUAACUGACGCUGAGGCACGAAAGCGUGGGUAGCAAACAGGAUUAGAUACCCCCGUAGUCC
RNAcentral lists this ribosomal RNA (292 nucleotides) under uncultured bacterium. RNAcentral's name for it is "partial 16S ribosomal RNA". It matches the Rfam family "Bacterial small subunit ribosomal RNA", at positions 505 to 796 of the family's 1533-position model. The record is from RNAcentral.